GCUGGGCGUGGUGGCACACACCUGUAGUCCCAGCUACUCUGGAGGCUGAGGCAGGAGAAUUGCCUGAACCCAGGAGGUGGAGGUUGCAGUGAGCCGAGAUCACGCCACUGCAUUCCAGCCUGGCACCUGGUGACAGAGAAAGACUGUCUCAAAAAAUAAAAGAGAAAGAGUUUCGUUCUUGUUGCCCAGGUUGGAAUAUAAUGGCACGAUCUCGGCUCACUGCAACCUCCACUUCCCGGGUUCAAGCAAUUCUCCUGCUUCA
RNAcentral lists this small RNA (262 nucleotides) under Saimiri boliviensis boliviensis (Bolivian squirrel monkey). Its description in RNAcentral is "Metazoan signal recognition particle RNA (ENSSBOG00000014014.1)". The record is from RNAcentral. Lineage: Eukaryota; Metazoa; Chordata; Mammalia; Primates; Cebidae.